CCUACGGGUGGCAGCAGUGGGGAAUAUUGGACAAUGGGCGAAAGCCUGAUCCAGCCAUGCCGCGUGUGUGAAGAAGGCCUUCGGGUUGUAAAGCACUUUCAGUGGGGAAGAAAGCCUUGGGGCUAAUACCCUCGAGGAAGGACAUCACCCACAGAAGAAGCACCGGCUAACUCCGUGCCAGCAGCCGCGGUAAUACGGAGGGUGCGAGCGUUAAUCGGAAUUACUGGGCGUAAAGCGCGCGUAGGCGGUCUGAUAAGCCGGUUGUGAAAGCCCCGGGCUCAACCUGGGAACGGCAUCCGGAACUGUCAGGCUGGAGUGCAGGAGAGGAAGGUAGAAUUCCCGGUGUAGCGGUGAAAUGCGUAGAGAUCGGGAGGAAUACCAGUGGCGAAGGCGGCCUUCUGGACUGACACUGACGCUGAGGUGCGAAAGCGUGGGUAGCAAACAGGAUUAGAUACCCGAGUAGUC
Molecule: ribosomal RNA, 465 nt
Filed under: Vreelandella stevensii
Lineage: Bacteria; Pseudomonadati; Pseudomonadota; Gammaproteobacteria; Oceanospirillales; Halomonadaceae
Description: partial 16S ribosomal RNA
Rfam family: Bacterial small subunit ribosomal RNA
Source: RNAcentral